Molecule: long non-coding RNA, 821 nt
Organism: Acyrthosiphon pisum (pea aphid)
Lineage: Eukaryota; Metazoa; Arthropoda; Insecta; Hemiptera; Aphididae
Exons: 3
Source: RefSeq, a predicted model, not a curated record
CUGUACCUGGAAAAUCUCACAAAUAUAAAAAUCACGGUUUUUUUUUUAUAGUUAUUUUAUGUUCAAAAUUGAAGGAAAUUACUUAUUAAAUAACGUCAGAUGUGAUUAAACAGAAAUCUAUGGCAUUCUGGCGGUAAUACCCGAUUGAACCGUCACGGGUGUUCACUGGUGAUUUAUCUUCACUGAAUGACCAAUUAACUGACCGUCGCCGUGAAAUACAUGGUCGUAUACAAUAUGGUCGUUAACUUGUGGAAGGGCACUCUGAGAAAUUUUGGUUCAAAUAAGGCAUCGCGCAAUAAUGAACCCCUGAUGUAUUUCUGUUUAAAAAUAACCAACGAUAUGAUGGAACAAAUAUUAAGAGUUGUACUAAAAACUUAAUAAUAUUUUGAAGCUAAUGGAGAAUAAUUGGAGAAAAUUGAAAGUUUUUUUUAUAUUUUUUGAUAUCUCGCAGUAAAAAAAAAUCAACACAAAUUCUUAUGGAGCAGAAUUUAAACAUUUUAAAAUUACUUAUAACUAAAAAAUUACAAAGGAAUCUACUUAGGAACCUAUAGAUGCUAAAUCAUUGCCACACCUAUAAAAAAUAUACUUCUUACAUAUAUGCGAUCAUGUAUAUGACGGCGACGGUCAGAUAAUUGGUCAUUCAGUGAAGAUACAUCACCAGUGAAAACCCGUGACGGUUCAAUCGGGUAUUACCGCCAUAUCACCAUAGAUUUCUAUUUGAUCGUAUCUGACGAGAAACGUACAACUAUUGAUUAUGAAAACUAAUAUAUUAAACACAUAUAAUAAUUACAAUUAUAAAUAAAUGGUACAACGCACACUAU